Myotis myotis is the source of this 1735-nucleotide RNA transcript. It is a transcript of the gene named mesoderm posterior bHLH transcription factor 1, with no coding region annotated. NCBI's taxonomy places the organism in Eukaryota, Metazoa, Chordata, Mammalia, Chiroptera, Vespertilionidae. The record is from RefSeq and is a predicted model, not a curated record. The transcript is spliced from 4 exons.
GUGGGCUGCGAGGGGCCGCGGGCGCCGUCACAGGGGCACGAGCCCGACGAGUCCGAGGAGGAGGAGGCCGGGGACGUGGAGUCCGGGUGCCCGGCCCAACCCCAGCCCUGGGGUGUGAUGGCUGGAGCUCCAGCAACCAUGUUGUGACCGGGAGGCAAUCUCAAGGACGGAAGUCACGCACUGAGGGUGGUGGAGCAGAAAGAAGCCCGAGGCAUCAGUGACGACACAGAAGUGCCACACUAGCCCCGGACUGUCUGCCCAUGAAUGGGCGGAUGUUUCCCUGGAGGAAGGUCCCUCGUGAUGUGCCGCCAGCUCUGUUCCCAGUCUUGGCCGGGGCAGCCUGUGGACUUGAAUGAAGAUACGAACGGACCUCAUGUAGGGUGCUGGUCAUGACUCUGGGCACAGCCAGGGAAGCCCAAUGACAAGGCCGUGCCAGGCAGAGCGCCAUCAGUGUCACCGGGAGGCCCAGAGACUGACAGCCACCAGGACGAGGUCACAGAGCAGCUGCUGGAACUGGAGCUCCCUGCCCCGGUCUUCCCAGGCCUUCUGUAACGUCAGUGCCCAGCGCUGCCUGCAUAGCCAUUCAGGGCACAAACCCAGGACUUCGGCCCACUGUUCUCCCCUUGCUCAGGUGGGAACCAGGCCCAGAGAGGCCCAUCCUCUGCCUAAGGUCCCCAGAGCCAGGAUUUGACCCCACAAGGGUCGCGCACCACACCACCGGGAAACUCCCCCCGCCCGGGGCCCAGGCUCCAGCAGGGACCAGUCGCUGCCCGCUGGGAGCUCGAGCCGGAGGAGAAAGAGGAGCCAGUGGGCUCUGGGUUUGCGGUGGCCUGGUGUGCUGGGAGCCCGUGGGCGACAGACCUGCUCCCUGGCUGGUCAGUGGGGCGGGUUGCAGAAGGAAAGGAGGGGCCUGAAAUUGCGGGGUUUCCUCCAAGCGGAGGUGGGACAUUCCAGGCAGCGGGGAAAGGUGGGAGCCCAAGUCUGGGAGUGGAAGGCCCAGGGCAACGCCAUGCGGGCUGGGACCCCAGGACGGGGAUGGGGACGGGUGGAAAGGGUGUGGAUGAGCAGACGGGAGCUGGAAUUCCUGUUGGGUGAGGAGUUUGGGCUCAGGGAGGCAAUGAGUCCACAGAAAUUCUGAGGAAGGAGGGAAGAAUGUGGCCAUUGUUGGCUGGAGAAGCACAGGGAUGGGGAGCUGGCUGGGGGCCACAGGUACCCAGCAGGCAGGGCAUGGAGGGAACCCCCCUGCUCUCACUCCAACAAGAAAGCUGAGCUGAGGAGGCUGGUGUGCCAGGGCCCGGUAGCGGCAGCUUAAGCCUAGAGCCAGCCUGCCUGGGCUCAAUCCCCUUGAGCCUCAGUCUUAUCAUCUGUGAAAUGGGUUUCUUUGCUGAGAUGAUUAGGGCUGGCACCAUGUGUUCAGCUCGUGGCACUCCACAAAUCCUGCCUGCCGCCCUGCUGGCGAGGAGUGACCGUCCGAAGUCCUGCAGCUCAUGGGAGGGACGAAGGGGAGAAUAAGUGGUGCCCACUCUUGCUGGAAUGCAAACAAGCGUGGGGGGUGGUUCUGCAAAGUCUCUCUCCACCCUUCUUCCCCUCCUUCCCCUCCUUCCCUUUUUUCUUUACUUUACCAAAGCAAGGAAUGCUGUCACAGAAAAUUGAGAUGAGCUCUAGCUGGUUUGGCAGGGUGGAUAGAGCGUCAGCCUGCGGGCUGAAGGGUCCCAGGUUCGAUUCCAGUCAAGGG